UACGAAGGGGGCGAGCGUUGUUCGGAUUUACUGGGCGUAAAGGGCGCGCAGGCGGCGCAUUUUGUCAGGCGUGAAAGCCCCGGGCUUAACCUGGGAACAGCGCUUGAGACUGGCACGCUCGAGUUCGGGAGAGGAUGGUGGAAUUCCUAGUGUAGAGGUGAAAUGCGUAGAUAUUGGGAGGAACACCGAUGGCGAAGGCAAUCCCCUGGGCCUGCACUGACGCUCAUGCACGAAAGCGUGGGGAGCAAACAGG
RNAcentral lists this ribosomal RNA (253 nucleotides) under uncultured bacterium. RNAcentral describes it as "partial 16S ribosomal RNA". It matches the Rfam family "Bacterial small subunit ribosomal RNA", at positions 524 to 776 of the family's 1533-position model. The record is from RNAcentral.